RNAcentral lists this non-coding RNA (39 nucleotides) under unclassified sequences. RNAcentral's name for it is "L31-Actinobacteria ribosomal protein leader". It matches the Rfam family "L31-Actinobacteria ribosomal protein leader". The record is from RNAcentral.
GCGGUACCGGUUCACGCCCGUAAGGGCGACCCGGCGACC